Molecule: long non-coding RNA, 306 nt
Organism: Helianthus annuus (common sunflower)
Lineage: Eukaryota; Viridiplantae; Streptophyta; Magnoliopsida; Asterales; Asteraceae
Exons: 3
Source: RefSeq, a predicted model, not a curated record
GAAGGUUCUGAUUCAGAUGGUUCUGUGGGUAGCGCUCCAGGUGAAAGCCCUACUUAUGAAGGUUCUUAUUCAGAUGGUUCUGUGGGUAGCGCUCCAGGUGAAAGACAAGAAACUACUAAGGGGAAGGGCGACUACAUGGGCAUGCAUUAGCGGCAGAAGAUUUCGUGAAUUAUUGAAUAAAACCGGAAGCUUUAUGAACUCCUUUAAGUUUUUUUUUUCUGUAAUGUAUGUUUUUAGACUUGGCAUACAUGUUUGUUUUUAAACACAUUCCGCAAACAAAGUUUCCUGUGCUAUGCACGCCUUAAA